Molecule: ribosomal RNA, 403 nt
Filed under: Olpidiopsidales sp.
Lineage: Eukaryota; Oomycota; Olpidiopsidales
Description: partial small subunit ribosomal RNA
Rfam family: Eukaryotic small subunit ribosomal RNA
Source: RNAcentral
AUUCCAGCUCCAAUAGCGUAUAUUAAAGUUGUUGCAGUUAAAAAGCUCGUAGUUGGAUUUCUGUUUUUAGUUACCGGUCCGCCCAUGUAUUUGGGUGUGUACUAUGGUUACUGAAUUCAUUUUUUGUGAGGAUCCUUGGCUGGCAUUAAGUUGUCCGGCCUUGUGUACUUGCAUCUUUUACUGUGAAAAAAUUAGAGUGUUUAAAGCAGGCGUUCGCUUUAUUUGAAUACAUUAGCAUGGAAUAAUAAGAUACGACUUGUGUGGUCUAUUUUGUUGGUUUGCACACGCGAGUAAUGAUUAAUAGGGACAGUUGGGGGUAUUCAUAUUUCAGCGUCAGAGGUGAAAUUCUUGGAUCGCUGAAAACUGACUACUGCGAAAGCAUUUGCCAAGAGUGUUUUCAUUG